Brassica napus (rape) is the source of this 1061-nucleotide long non-coding RNA. RefSeq lists it as uncharacterized. NCBI's taxonomy places the organism in Eukaryota, Viridiplantae, Streptophyta, Magnoliopsida, Brassicales, Brassicaceae. The record is from RefSeq and is a predicted model, not a curated record. The transcript has 3 exons.
UGUUUAGGAUAAAAUAGGUUUUACUAAUAUGUUUAGGAUAAAUAUAUCUCUAUAUAAGAAGAUGGUGAGUUGUGCCAUGAACUUGUGAGAUUAGAGAUUAUUUGUGAGAGCUUAGGUUUUGAGUGAUUUUCCUAAGAUAAUAAGAAGAGAGUUUUUAUAUAAUCUUGAGUGUUCAUGAGCUAAGCUAAUACUGCUGCUUCACAUUAUGAGAAAAACAAUCUAAAAGGUAAGCGGUGAACAUCUUUUAUGAGCAUUUUUCUUACCUUCUUCUUGUCUCUGAAUAUGGUUUUUGUCUACGUCAUUUGAAUAAUUACUAACACUGUUGGGUUGUACACUUGCCGUAGACUCACUUAGCAAUGAAGGACAUUUAUCUAGGCCAAGGAAGGGGGAUGAAAAAGAAACAGAGGCUGCCAAAGAAAAGGAGCGAUCCAAGGACAAGUACAUGGGGAAAUCUAUUCAGGAGCUUGAUCUCUCUGAUUGCGUGCGUUGCACUCCUAGCUACCUCCUCCUCCCUUGGGAUUAUCCACUGCCUUCUGUGCGCCACAGAGAGACAUCAGAAGCUGUUGUCUUGAAUGAUCACUGGGUUUCUGUCAAUUCAGCAAGUGAAGACUACUCUUCUAAGCACAUGCGCAGAAACAGAUAUAAGGAAAGCUUGUUUAAAUGUGAAGAUGACAGGUGCCGUUUUACAAUAAAAUAGAUAAUAGUUUUUGUACGUUGUUAGUUGGUUACCUGCUUCUUCAUGCUACAGAUUUGAGUUGAAUAUGCUGUUGGAAUCUGCCGAAUCUGCAGCGAAAAGGGGAGAAGAGUUGCUGAAUAGUAUCAUUGAGAAGAAAAUAAGUUUAGAAGAGGGCUCCUUCUUGGUUGAAGACCAUUUCACAGCCCUAAAUUUAAGGUGUAUAGAGCGACUUUAUGGGGACCAUGGUGUUGACGUGAAAGAGACAAUACGUAAGAGCAUCUCCAAUGUAAAACUCCAUUUUUUCCUUCAAAAUGGAGUAAAAGUGAAAAUUGAGGAAAAUUGCUCCAACCCCACUCCAUUUCCAACUCCAUUAUGAAGUGAUGAA